AGCGAACGCUGGCGGCAGGCCUAACACAUGCAAGUCGAACGAACUCUUCGGAGUUAGUGGCGGACGGGUGAGUAACACGUGGGAACGUGCCCUUUGGUACGGAAUAACUCAGGGAAACUUGAGCUAAUACCGUAUGUGCCCUUCGGGGGAAAGAUUUAUCGCCAUUGGAGCGGCCCGCGUCUGAUUAGCUAGUUGGUGAGGUAAAGGCUCACCAAGGCUACGAUCAGUAGCUGGUCUGAGAGGAUGAUCAGCCACAUUGGGACUGAGACACGGCCCAAACUCCUACGGGAGGCAGCAGUGGGGAAUCUUGCGCAAUGGGCGAAAGCCUGACGCAGCCAUGCCGCGUGAAUGAUGAAGGUCUUAGGAUUGUAAAAUUCUUUCACCGGGGACGAUAAUGACGGUACCCGGAGAAGAAGCCCCGGCUAACUUCGU
This 432-nucleotide ribosomal RNA is filed under the name uncultured bacterium. RNAcentral's name for it is "partial 16S ribosomal RNA". It matches the Rfam family "Bacterial small subunit ribosomal RNA", at positions 29 to 506 of the family's 1533-position model. The record is from RNAcentral.